AUUGAACGCUGGCGGACUGCUUUACACAUGCAAGUCGAACGGCAGCACGGACUUCGGUCUGGUGGCGAGUGGCGCACGGGUGAGUAAUGUAUCUGGACGUUCCCAGUCGUGGGGGAUAACGUAGAGAAAAUUACGCUAAUACCGCAUACGAUCUAUGGAUGAAAGCGGGGGAUCGCAAGACCUCCCGCGAUUGGAGCGGCCGAUAUCCGAUUAGGUAGUUGGUGGGGUAAAGGCCCACCAAGCCAACGAUCUGUAGCUGGUCUGAGAGGACGACCAGCCACACUGGAACUGAGACACGGUCCAGAAUCCUACGGGAGGCAGCAGUGGGGAAUUUUGGACAAUGGGCGAAAGCCUGAUCCAGCCAUUCCGCGUGCAGGAUGAAGGCCCUCGGGUUGUAAACUGCUUUUGUACAGAACGAAAAGGUUUCUACUAAUACUAGGAGCUCAUGACGGUACUGUAAGAAUAAGCACCGGCUAACUACGUGCCAGCCGCCGCAGUAA
Molecule: ribosomal RNA, 500 nt
Filed under: uncultured bacterium
Lineage: Bacteria
Description: partial 16S ribosomal RNA
Rfam family: Bacterial small subunit ribosomal RNA
Source: RNAcentral